Molecule: ribosomal RNA, 400 nt
Filed under: uncultured bacterium
Lineage: Bacteria
Description: bacterial SSU rRNA
Rfam family: Bacterial small subunit ribosomal RNA
Source: RNAcentral
GGGGAAUAUUGGACAAUGGGGGAAACCCUGAUCCAGCGACGCCGCGUGAGUGAAGAAGUAUUUCGGUAUGUAAAGCUCUAUCAGCAGGGAAGAAAAUGACGGUACCUGACUAAGAAGCCCCGGCUAACUACGUGCCAGCAGCCGCGGUAAUACGUAGGGGGCAAGCGUUAUCCGGAUUUACUGGGUGUAAAGGGAGCGUAGACGGCACUGCAAGUCUGGAGUGAAAGCCCGGGGCUCAACCCCGGGACUGCUUUGGAAACUGUGGAGCUGGAGUGCAGGAGAGGUAAGUGGAAUUCCUAGUGUAGCGGUGAAAUGCGUAGAUAUUAGGAGGAACACCAGUGGCGAAGGCGGCUUACUGGACUGUAACUGACGUUGAGGCUCGAAAGCGUGGGGAGCAAAC